RNAcentral lists this ribosomal RNA (1552 nucleotides) under Salmonella enterica subsp. enterica serovar Panama str. ATCC 7378. Its description in RNAcentral is "bacterial SSU rRNA". It matches the Rfam family "Bacterial small subunit ribosomal RNA". Lineage: Bacteria; Pseudomonadati; Pseudomonadota; Gammaproteobacteria; Enterobacterales; Enterobacteriaceae. RNAcentral also lists the same sequence under 1 other name. The record is from RNAcentral.
UUAAAUUGAAGAGUUUGAUCAUGGCUCAGAUUGAACGCUGGCGGCAGGCCUAACACAUGCAAGUCGAACGGUAGCACAGAGAGCUUGCUCUCGGGUGACGAGUGGCGGACGGGUGAGUAAUGUCUGGGAAACUGCCUGAUGGAGGGGGAUAACUACUGGAAACGGUGGCUAAUACCGCAUAAUGUCGCAAGACCAAAGAGGGGGACCUUCGGGCCUCUUGCCAUCAGAUGUGCCCAGAUGGGAUUAGCUUGUUGGUGAGGUAACGGCUCACCAAGGCGACGAUCCCUAGCUGGUCUGAGAGGAUGACCAGCCACACUGGAACUGAGACACGGUCCAGACUCCUACGGGAGGCAGCAGUGGGGAAUAUUGCACAAUGGGCGCAAGCCUGAUGCAGCCAUGCCGCGUGUAUGAAGAAGGCCUUCGGGUUGUAAAGUACUUUCAGCGGGGAGGAAGGUGUUGUGGUUAAUAACCGCAGCAAUUGACGUUACCCGCAGAAGAAGCACCGGCUAACUCCGUGCCAGCAGCCGCGGUAAUACGGAGGGUGCAAGCGUUAAUCGGAAUUACUGGGCGUAAAGCGCACGCAGGCGGUCUGUCAAGUCGGAUGUGAAAUCCCCGGGCUCAACCUGGGAACUGCAUUCGAAACUGGCAGGCUUGAGUCUUGUAGAGGGGGGUAGAAUUCCAGGUGUAGCGGUGAAAUGCGUAGAGAUCUGGAGGAAUACCGGUGGCGAAGGCGGCCCCCUGGACAAAGACUGACGCUCAGGUGCGAAAGCGUGGGGAGCAAACAGGAUUAGAUACCCUGGUAGUCCACGCCGUAAACGAUGUCUACUUGGAGGUUGUGCCCUUGAGGCGUGGCUUCCGGAGCUAACGCGUUAAGUAGACCGCCUGGGGAGUACGGCCGCAAGGUUAAAACUCAAAUGAAUUGACGGGGGCCCGCACAAGCGGUGGAGCAUGUGGUUUAAUUCGAUGCAACGCGAAGAACCUUACCUGGUCUUGACAUCCACAGAACUUUCCAGAGAUGGAUUGGUGCCUUCGGGAACUGUGAGACAGGUGCUGCAUGGCUGUCGUCAGCUCGUGUUGUGAAAUGUUGGGUUAAGUCCCGCAACGAGCGCAACCCUUAUCCUUUGUUGCCAGCGGUCCGGCCGGGAACUCAAAGGAGACUGCCAGUGAUAAACUGGAGGAAGGUGGGGAUGACGUCAAGUCAUCAUGGCCCUUACGACCAGGGCUACACACGUGCUACAAUGGCGCAUACAAAGAGAAGCGACCUCGCGAGAGCAAGCGGACCUCAUAAAGUGCGUCGUAGUCCGGAUUGGAGUCUGCAACUCGACUCCAUGAAGUCGGAAUCGCUAGUAAUCGUGGAUCAGAAUGCCACGGUGAAUACGUUCCCGGGCCUUGUACACACCGCCCGUCACACCAUGGGAGUGGGUUGCAAAAGAAGUAGGUAGCUUAACCUUCGGGAGGGCGCUUACCACUUUGUGAUUCAUGACUGGGGUGAAGUCGUAACAAGGUAACCGUAGGGGAACCUGCGGUUGGAUCACCUCCUUACCUUAAAGAA